GAUUUUAUAGUCUAAGUUAAAUGAUAUUAAAUUGCAAAUUUAAAGAUAAAUUUUUUUUUAAAAUCU
Molecule: transfer RNA, 66 nt
Filed under: Onthophagus longimanus
Lineage: Eukaryota; Metazoa; Arthropoda; Insecta; Coleoptera; Scarabaeidae
Description: tRNA-Cys
Source: RNAcentral